This 978-nucleotide ribosomal RNA is filed under the name Helminthosporium velutinum. Its description in RNAcentral is "SSU rRNA". It matches the Rfam family "Eukaryotic small subunit ribosomal RNA", at positions 76 to 1063 of the family's 1831-position model. The record is from RNAcentral. Lineage: Eukaryota; Fungi; Ascomycota; Dothideomycetes; Pleosporales; Massarinaceae.
AUACCGUGAAACUGCGAAUGGCUCAUUAAAUCAGUUAUCGUUUAUUUGAUAGUACCUUACUACUUGGAUACCUGUGGUAAUUCUAGAGCUAAUACAUGCUAAAAACCCCGACUUCGGAAGGGGUGUAUUUAUUAGAUAAAAAACCAAUGCCCUUCGGGGCUCCUUGGUGAUUCAUAAUAACUUCUCAGAUCGCAUGGCCUUGCGCCGGCGACGGUUCAUUCAAAUUUCUGCCCUAUCAACUUUCGAUGGUAAGGUAUUGGCUUACCAUGGUUUCUACGGGUAACGGGGAAUUAGGGUUCGAUUCCGGAGAGUUAGCCUGAGAAACGGCUAACACAUCCAAGGAAGGCAGCAGGCGCGCAAAUUACCCAAUCCUGAUACAGGGAGGUAGUGACAAUAAAUACUGAUACAGGGCUCUUUUGGGUCUUGUAAUCGGAAUGAGUACAAUUUAAACCUCUUAACGAGGAACAAUUGGAGGGCAAGUCUGGUGCCAGCAGCCGCGGUAAUUCCAGCUCCAAUAGCGUAUAUUAAAGUUGUUGCAGUUAAAAAGCUCGUAGUUGAACCUUUGGCCUGGCUGGCAGGUCCGCCUCACCGCGUGCACUUGUCCGGCCGGGCCUUUUCUUCUGGAGAACCGCAUGCCCUUCACUGGGUGUGUUGGGGACCAGGACUUUUACUUUGAAAAAAUUAGAGUGUUCAAAGCAGGCCUUUGCUCGAAUAUUACAGCAUGGAAUAAUAAAAUAGGACGUGCGGUUCUAUUUUGUUGGUUUCUAGGACCGCCGUAAUGAUUAAUAGGGACAGUCGGGGGCAUCAGUAUUCAAUUGUCAGAGGUGAAAUUCUUGGAUUUAUUGAAGACUAACUACUGCGAAAGCAUUUGCCAAGGAUGUUUUCAUUAAUCAGUGAACGAAAGUUAGGGGAUCGAAGACGAUCAGAUACCGUCGUAGUCUUAACCAUAAACUAUGCCGACUAGGGAUCGGGCGGUGU